AUAUAUCUGCCACCGGGUAGAAAUGCGUAAGGCAUUCGUUUACACAUCGUUAGGUCUAAGAAGAUGUGUGGGCGGGUGCUUAUUUUUU
This 88-nucleotide non-coding RNA is filed under the name unclassified sequences. The record is from RNAcentral.